RNA transcript from Drosophila busckii, 1387 nucleotides. It is a transcript of the gene named bax inhibitor 1, with no coding region annotated. NCBI's taxonomy places the organism in Eukaryota, Metazoa, Arthropoda, Insecta, Diptera, Drosophilidae. The transcript has 5 exons. The record is from RefSeq and is a predicted model, not a curated record.
AAUACAUCAAAGAAAACACAGGAACGUAGUAGACCACUUGAAAUAUUUCAGUUUGCCUAUUAAGCCCUGAUAAUAAAAAAUUCACAUUCAGAACUCCUCCGUUCGAUUAAACUGAAAACAUCGAAAACAAGUAAUCAAGUGAAAACUCAAAGAUACAUUAUGGCGGAUACAGCUCAAUAUCUCAACGAACGUUACCAACGUUUUAUGAACGGACUCGGCGAGCGCUAUGAGCCGUACAUACGUGAGCAUCUGUCGAAGGUAUACAUGGUGCUGGCGAGCACCGCUGCUGCCACAGCAGUGGGGGCUCUGUUGCAGAUGCGUGACUUUGUAGACCUGGGUAUGCUGGCUGCCAUUGCAUCAUUGGUGUUGGUGCUCUGCCUGCAUUUCUAUAAGGACGAUGGCAAAAACUACUACACACGUCUCGGCAUGCUCUAUGCCUUCGGCUUCUGUUCUGGUCAAACCUUGGGUCCAUUGCUAGGCUAUAUAACCAGCAUUAAUCCGGCUAUUAUAUUAACCGCACUGACCGGUACCUUUGUGACCUUCUUAUCACUAUCGCUGGCCGCUUUGCUUGCCGAACAGGGCAAAUAUCUUUACCUGGGCGGCAUGCUUGUGAGCGUUAUCAACUGCAUGGCGCUUUUGAGUCUCUUCAACAUGAUCUUCAAAUCGUAUUUUGUGCAGAUAACUCAAUUGUAUGUUGGCGUCUUUGUCAUGGCUGCUUUUAUCGUCUACGAUACUCAGAACAUCGUGGAGAAGUGCCGCAUGGGCAAUCGGGAUGUAGUACAGCAUGCCUUGGAUCUAUUCUUUGACGUGCUGAGCAUGUUCCGUCGUUUGUUGAUUAUCCUAACUCAAAAGCUCAAGAGCUUUAUGGCUUAAGAGAAUAGCAACCUGAGUCAGUCAACCUGAUUGUAAACAAGCAAAAACCAAAUUCUUUAAGAAAACAUAUAGAACACAAUUUCUUUUUAAAAAGUUAUUGCAUUAAAUCGACGGAGGAGCAAAAGCAGGCUGAUCGUCGCAAGAGGAAGUAAUCUUGCGUUGCAUUUUUUACGCAGACGUUUGUUAAAAAUUUCAAAAAAGCGCAACGGCGUGCAUACCUUUUGGCUAUAAAAUUCUACACAUCCACUUUAAACAAAUAUAUGAGCAUACGAUAAUGUACAGCUAAGCAAGGACAAUUCGGAUUACAUGAAAAUAUAAUACAAAACAUUAAAAACGUAAUAAAAAUGUUAGACAACCAAGUCAACUGCAAUUUGCAAUAUGGUCUAUAGUAUGCUCUACUUUGUAAUAUUAGUAUUUAUGUGUUAUGCCUAUUUUUUGGUUCGAGUUGUAUUAUUUAUUAAGAGUUUGAAUAGCAUUGAUGUUUAUUUCAAUAAAGUAAAACCUCUCAUCAUAA